GUGAAGAGGGAAAAGCUCAAAUUUUGAAUCUGGCGGUCUUUUGGUCGUCCGAGUUGUAAUCUAGAGAAGCGUCUUCCGCGCUGGACCGUGUAUAAGUUUCCUGGAAUGGAACGUCGUAGAGGGUGAGAAUCCCGUCUUUGACACGGACUACCAGGGCUAUGUGAUGCGCUCUCGACGAGUCGAGUUGUUUGGGAAUGCAGCUCAAAUAGGGUGGUAAAUUCCAUCUAAAGCUAAAUAUAGGCGAGAGACCGAUAGCGAACAAGUACCGUGAGGGAAAGAUGAAAAGAACUUUGGAAAGAGAGUUAAACAGUACGUGAAAUUGCUGAAAGGGAAACGCUUGAUGUCAGUCGCGUCGGCCGGGGAUCAGCCUUGCUUAACCGCUCGGCGUACUUCCUGGCAGACGGGUCAGCAUCAGUUUUGACCGUCGGAAAAUGGCUCGGGGAAUGUGGCACUCUUUCGGGAGUGUGUUAUAGACUCGAGUCGAAUGCGAUGGUUGGGACUGAGGAACUCAGCACGACCUUAGGGUUCGGGACUUUGGUCCACGUUUGCGUGCUUAGGAUGCUGGCAUAAUGGCCUUAAGCGACCCGUCUUGAAACACGGACCAAGGAGUCUAACAUGCAUGCGAGUGUUUGGGCGAUGAAAAACCCGAGCGCGUAAUGAAAGUGAAAGUCGAGACCUCUGUCGUG
RNAcentral lists this ribosomal RNA (686 nucleotides) under Rhizopogon roseolus. Its description in RNAcentral is "LSU rRNA". It matches the Rfam family "Eukaryotic large subunit ribosomal RNA", at positions 93 to 751 of the family's 3401-position model. The record is from RNAcentral. Lineage: Eukaryota; Fungi; Basidiomycota; Agaricomycetes; Boletales; Rhizopogonaceae.